CUAGCUCAGGAACUGAGUCUGAUGCUGUAACCAGAAUGCCUACCCUUUGUGGUUGACUCCCUCCAUACCCCUACUGACCUGUCCCACUCCAGCCUCCUCACAGCACUGCGUACCGAGAUGAGCUCAAACUACAAACUUCAGAACCAGAACGAAACUCCUGUAAAGAUGGUGAAACCCGGAUAUUUCAGAUAAAUGCUAGGGGUGGUGCUCUAUCAGCAUCUCCAUUUCUACAGUCUGAACGGAGGUUGGG
This is a long non-coding RNA of Mauremys mutica (yellowpond turtle), 250 nucleotides long. RefSeq lists it as uncharacterized. The record is from RefSeq and is a predicted model, not a curated record. The transcript is spliced from 3 exons. NCBI's taxonomy places the organism in Eukaryota, Metazoa, Chordata, Testudines, Geoemydidae.